UACGUAGGGUGCGAGCGUUAAUCGGAAUUACUGGGCGUAAAGCGUGCGCAGGCGGUCUGUUAAGACAGAUGUGAAAUCCCCGGGCUUAACCUGGGAACUGCAUUUGUGACUGGCAGGCUAGAGUAUGGCAGAGGGGGGUAGAAUUCCACGUGUAGCAGUGAAAUGCGUAGAGAUGUGGAGGAAUACCGAUGGCGAAGGCAGCCCCCUGGGCCAAUACUGACGCUGAGGCGCGAAAGCUAGGGGAGCAAACGGG
This 253-nucleotide ribosomal RNA is filed under the name uncultured bacterium. RNAcentral describes it as "partial 16S ribosomal RNA". It matches the Rfam family "Bacterial small subunit ribosomal RNA", at positions 524 to 776 of the family's 1533-position model. The record is from RNAcentral.